AUGAACGCUGGCGGCGUGCUUAACACAUGCAAGUCGAACGAAGCACUUAAGAUUGAUUCUUCGGAUGACGUCUUUUGUGACUUAGUGGCGGACGGGUGAGUAACGCGUGGGUAACCUGCCUCACACAGGGGGAUAACAGUUAGAAAUGACUGCUAAUACCGCAUAACCCGAUAGGAUCGCAUGAUCCAGACGGAAAAGAUUUAUCGGUGUGAGAUGGACCCGCGUCUGAUUAGCUAGUUGGUGAGGUAACGGCCCACCAAGGCGACGAUCAGUAGCCGGCCUGAGAGGGUGAACGGCCACAUUGGGACUGAGACACGGCCCAAACUCCUACGGGAAGCAGCAGUGGGGAAUAUUGCACAAUGGGGGAAACCCUGAUGCAGCGACGCCGCGUGAGUGAAGAAGUAUUUCGGUAUGUAAAGCUCUAUCAGCAGGGAAGAAAAUGACGGUACCUGACUAAGAAGCCCCGGCUAACUACGUG
Molecule: ribosomal RNA, 478 nt
Filed under: uncultured bacterium
Lineage: Bacteria
Description: partial 16S ribosomal RNA
Rfam family: Bacterial small subunit ribosomal RNA
Source: RNAcentral